UACAGAGGUCUCAAGCGUUGUUCGGAUUCAUUGGGCGUAAAGGGUGCGUAGGCGGUCGGGUAAGUCUGAUGUGAAAUCUCACAGCUUAACUGUGAAACUGCAUUGGAUACUAUCCGGCUCGAGGAAUGGAGGGGAGACUGGAAUACUUGGUGUAGCAGUGAAAUGCGUAGAUAUCAAGUGGAACACCAGUGGCGAAGGCGAGUCUCUGGACAUUUCCUGACGCUGAGGCCCGAAAGCCAGGGGAGCAAACGGG
This 253-nucleotide ribosomal RNA is filed under the name uncultured bacterium. Its description in RNAcentral is "partial 16S ribosomal RNA". It matches the Rfam family "Bacterial small subunit ribosomal RNA", at positions 524 to 776 of the family's 1533-position model. The record is from RNAcentral.